UCGAAAAACUCAGCGCUGAAAACUGGAGACCUCAGCGUCAAUAAUGCAACACUCAAGGCAUCCGUUGCUCAGCUGGAGCUUCAGCGGGCUGAUUGUGAGUCUGCACUGAUAGAAGAAAAGAUUGUGUCUCAGGAGAGGAAACAUCACGCUGGACUGUGCCAGUAUCAGGUUGCAGAGCUUCAAGUGGAGUUGGAUGAUCUGAGGGUAAAAUAUGAAAACGUUUUAAGAGAGACCGAGAAGACACAGGAUGGAAAAGAUACAGAAGUUGAGAAGGUGAGGCAGGAGCUGCAGGGGCGUGUGGACCAACUGAAGUCUUACCCCGAGUUACUGAGUGCAGCUGAGCAGAGCCUCUUCGAGUGCCAGGAGAACCUGCGACGCUCGGAGAGGAAGUGCUCAGAAAAGUCAGAGUCCGUAGGGCAACUGCAGGUUAAGGUGUGCAAUGUGAGCUGUGAGCCGUCAGAAUGUAAAAUGCAAAUCAUUUUCCAUCUGACCACUAGGCGGUAGUGCAACCCCAUGUAUCUGUCGACGCAGCUUGUGUUUUGGUCCUGCUGUGAGUUUGAUGUUUCUGAUUGCAGUGGAAACAGUUGUCCCCAUUUGUGAGUGUGUUCUGUGCCGUGCGAGUCCUUUUCAAACACCCGCGUGUUUCUAUCUAUCAGCAGGGAUGUUUUGGUGUGUAGAAAUAUUCACAUUAAGUCUUUGCAAGAUUGUAUUUUAUGCAGUUUUGCAUGUGAUGUGAAACCCGUCUUUUCUGCUUCCAGUCACUUGUAACCAGUACAGGUGAA
RNAcentral lists this long non-coding RNA (782 nucleotides) under Cottoperca gobio. Its description in RNAcentral is "lncRNA (ENSCGOG00000016463.1)". Lineage: Eukaryota; Metazoa; Chordata; Actinopteri; Perciformes; Bovichtidae. The record is from RNAcentral.